RNAcentral lists this ribosomal RNA (528 nucleotides) under uncultured Actinomycetes bacterium. RNAcentral's name for it is "bacterial SSU rRNA". It matches the Rfam family "Bacterial small subunit ribosomal RNA", at positions 8 to 522 of the family's 1533-position model. Lineage: Bacteria; Bacillati; Actinomycetota; Actinomycetes. The record is from RNAcentral.
AGAGUUUGAUCAUGGCUCAGGACGAACGCUGGCGGCGUGCUUAACACAUGCAAGUGGUGCGACGAACCAGGGCUUGCCCUGGGGCAAAGCCGCGAACGGGUGAGUAACACGUGGGUAACCUGCCCCGAUGACCGGGACAACCCGAGGAAACUCGGGCUAAUACCGGAUGUGGCGCACUGACACAAGUCAAUGCGCUAAAGGAAGCUUCGGCCUCCGCAUUGGGAGGGGCCCGCGGCCCAUUAGCUUGUUGGUGGGGUCAAGGCCUACCAAGGCGACGAUGGGUAGCUGGUCUGAGAGGACGAUCAGCCACACUGGGACUGAGACACGGCCCAGACUCCUACGGGAGGCAGCAGUGGGGAAUCUUGCGCAAUGCGCGAAAGCGUGACGCAGCAACGCCGCGUGGGGGAAGAAUGCCUUCGGGUUGUAAACCCCUUUCAGGAGGGACGAAGGUUCGCCGGUGAAUAGCCGUGCGGAUUGACGGUACCUCCAGAAGAAGCUCCGGCUAACUACGUGCCAGCAGCCGCGGUA